GAACCUUACCAGGUCUUGACAUCCCCUGACAACCCUAGAGAUAGGGCGUUCCCCUUUCGGGGACAGGGUGACAGGUGGUGCAUGGUUGUCGUCAGCUCGUGUCGUGAGAUGUUGGGUUAAGUCCCGCAACGAGCGCAACCCUUGACCUUAGUUGCCAGCAUUCAGUUGGGCACUCUAAGGUGACUGCCGGCUAAAAGUCGGAGGAAGGUGGGGAUGACGUCAAAUCAUCAUGCCCCUUAUGACCUGGGCUACACACGUGCUACAAUGGGUGGUACAAAGGGCAGCGAAACCGCGAGGUGGAGCGAAUCCCAAAAAACCACUCUCAGUUCGGAUUGCAGGCUGCAACUCGCCUGCAUGAAGCCGGAAUCGCUAGUAAUCGCGGAUCAGCAUGCCGCGGUGAAUACGUUCCCGGGCCUUGUACACACCGCCCGUCAAGCCAUGGAAGUGGGUUCUGCCUGAAGUCGCCGGUAGCCUUGGGCAGGCGCCGAGGGCCGGGCUCAUGACUGGGGCUAAGUCGUAACAAGGUAGCUGUACCGGAAGGUGCGGCUGGAUCACCUCCUUUCUA
Molecule: ribosomal RNA, 565 nt
Filed under: Helicobacter pylori
Lineage: Bacteria; Pseudomonadati; Campylobacterota; Epsilonproteobacteria; Campylobacterales; Helicobacteraceae
Description: bacterial SSU rRNA
Rfam family: Bacterial small subunit ribosomal RNA
Source: RNAcentral